AAUGGUGAUGACUGACUGUCCAAGCACAAUCUUCAAAAAAAAUUCUGGCAAUAGCAUCAUCAACUAUGGAAGCCGACAAUGGAGAAAAACAAGAGCAACUGAUGUUACGAAGUUGUGGGAUUCCUAUUCACCGAUUGAUGGUCGAGGCUUGGCUAGGUGGCAGAGUAUUGCUAAAAGCCCAAUCAAGAACUCCGGUAAGAAUCUCAAUCUAAAUCUCAAAGUAUCAGAUGGAGGAAAACCAAAACAAGGAGAUACAAAAUAGAGCAUCCCAUUUCAAUCAAAUCCAACGACUUGUCAGUGACAAUAUGAUCAUCGAUGAUGGCUAAG
Molecule: long non-coding RNA, 327 nt
Filed under: Elaeis guineensis (African oil palm)
Lineage: Eukaryota; Viridiplantae; Streptophyta; Magnoliopsida; Arecales; Arecaceae
Description: long non-coding RNA (EGUI_LNC044556)
Source: RNAcentral